CCUUUGGGCAAUGGAGCUGCCUUACUAACUGCUCUUGUUUGGGAGCUCUAUGGUGGAGAUGGUGCUGUGUCAACAGGAACUGGGUUACUAUCGGCUGGGGUUGGGGUUAGAUUGGGUGAAGCUGGUUCUUUGUCCAUCGUAGUAGGGGUACAAUCUGCGAGAGUUUGGGUUAUGUGUGGUAGGGCUGGUUCUUGUGCAUGUACAAC
This 206-nucleotide ribosomal RNA is filed under the name Triticum aestivum (bread wheat). Its description in RNAcentral is "partial small subunit ribosomal RNA". Lineage: Eukaryota; Viridiplantae; Streptophyta; Magnoliopsida; Poales; Poaceae. The record is from RNAcentral.